CACAACAUGGACACUAUUCAACUGCAAAUUUUCUUGGAGAUUAAUAGUCAGUGAGAUAUCUAAGGUGCUGACUUGCCUACUGUUAUUUUAUUGUGUGCUCGUUAUAUUGUGAUUUAUUGUAGAGCUUAACUACUGCUGCUGUGAUAUAAAUGAGGGCCGCCUUGUUGGGAAACCAGAACUGUCUUUGGAAUUGGCAAGCUUAGCAGUAAAGCCCGUACGAUAUAUUUGGGAAACGGAAACCAGGUGCCAUCCUUGGAAUCAGCUAUAUACUAGAUCCGGAGUCUCUGGAUCCCGUAGUCAAUUUAGGCCGACGCGGACGGAGGUGGGUAAUGACAAUAUGUUAUUAUCUAUUUGGGGUUUCUCCAAAAUUCUAUCUUGCCAAACCAUGGAUUGGUGAGCAGGUUGAGUGAAAUGUCUAUCCCUUCGGUGUGAAGCUAUGUUGUGAUAGUUUGCCUUUGAUCGAAUGCCUCUUGGUUUGUUGGGCUUUGUUCUGUGAUGGAAUAUGGAAUGAGGCUUUGAACUUUGUCCUGAUAGAUGAUUCUUAGCAUAAUCUGCCAUCUAUUAUGAUCACAUUUGCAAAACCCCGGGGUGUUAGAACUGGACAAACUAUUAUUGAGAUGCAAGAAUCACAGUAUAUCUAAACCCGGUUAUAGAGUUGGAAAUUUAUGGUGAAGUAGUAUAGCCUGUUGAGAACUUUUCACGGUAUCAGAGUCAGUUGACCCAUGUGAAGACGGGUUGCUAUUGUUUGCAUCUGAUUAAUCCCAUUGGUGAUCUCUGGGCUCACAGAAGCUAUAUGUUGUGCUAUUGUGAUAAAACACAUGCUUGUGAUUGUCUGUUGAGCCUUGGAAGUUGGAAGAGAGCCGUAUGUAUGCAAGACAACCUAAAGAAGGCAGCUUUAUUGUUUAUCAGAGACUGGUUUUUCAGGGGCAGCCUGGUCAUCACUCAUCACCGAUUCUCUUGUGAAAAUGUUUUCAAUUAUUAUACAUGUCUUAUUAUGCUGUUACAGUGUUCAGCGCAGAUGCAACUCCCUAUCCACAGUCCUCGGAUGCCUGACAAGGGAUCUUCAAGUGUAUGCCAAUCGCAAGUAUAACUUCAGUGUGUUUCGCUAUGAUCUACCCUUGAAGAAAUUACCGAUCCAUGAAUUUUCUUCCGGAAGUUUAGUAGAGUUCAUUUAGGAAAGGACUUCAGUUGGGAAGAUGUCAGUGCAUGUUCUCACAGGGUUUCCUCUAUCUAAUGAAUGGAACAAAUCCUGGCUCUCACGUCUCUUAGGAUCCGGGUUUUCCAAUGAAAUCACAAUAUUCUUGUAACUUUUUUUUUUUUUUUGGGAGCAACACAGUUACCGUUUAGUGAUGGGGGGGGAGAAUGAAGAAAGAAGGUGGUGCUGGUGAUCUAGUUAGAGCAGAGAACUCCAGAGAAAACACGAGGACAAACAACACCGGAGAGACAUCAGAAUAAGUAGGGGGGACACGAAGGUUUAACAGAAGAAGAAUAGGAGCUCCACCUUUGGGUUGUUUAUGAUUACAGCAGGAUCUUUAGUGACUUGGGUGUUUUAUGUCUUUUUAUUUCUCUGUUAUUUUUAUUUUGACUUUAUCUAUCACAAUUCUACGCGAAACUCAGCCCCUGAUCCCAUCCCUUAGGUUGCAGUGGCUGGAUACUGCAGCAUACCUAGUCAGUGUCAUUAACUCUUUGUAAAAAUUUUAAGCUGAUUGCCACCUCUCCAAAGGAAAAGUUAAUUAAUUGUAUCUUAAACCUACCCUUAUGUCAAUGUAGCCCAGCAAAUAACCAACAUUUAAGAAGGCAGGGCAGUUGAUCCAAAAAUUCCAGUUGCAAGUGAGCUGCAGGUACUAUUGCAUGAUGAGCGAUAUAUGCUGGGCACCUUCAGAUGACAUGUUUGUGGAAUUAAUGUUUCGGAUAGAACGUUUCAUUCAUCUCCCUUUGGUUUAGAGAAUUUAAUGGAACCCCCAGUACUUCUUUCCAAAUUCAUGAAAGGAUACAGCUGCUAUUGAG
RNAcentral lists this long non-coding RNA (2007 nucleotides) under Vitis vinifera (wine grape). Its description in RNAcentral is "long non-coding RNA (VVIN_LNC001936)". The record is from RNAcentral. Lineage: Eukaryota; Viridiplantae; Streptophyta; Magnoliopsida; Vitales; Vitaceae.